This 253-nucleotide ribosomal RNA is filed under the name uncultured bacterium. Its description in RNAcentral is "partial 16S ribosomal RNA". It matches the Rfam family "Bacterial small subunit ribosomal RNA", at positions 524 to 776 of the family's 1533-position model. The record is from RNAcentral.
UACGGAAGGGGCGAGCGUUGUUCGGAUUCACUGGGCGUAAAGGGUGCGCAGGUGGUCGGGUAAGUCUGAUGUGAAAUCCCGCAGCUCAACUGCGGAAUGGCAUUGGAUACUAUUUGGCUAGAGGGUUGGAGGGGGGACUGGAAUUCUCGGUGUAGCAGUGAAAUGCGUAGAUAUCGAGAGGAACACCAGUGGCGAAGGCGAGUCCCUGGACAACUCCUGACGCUGAGGCACGAAAGCUAGGGGAGCAAACAGG